UACGUAGGGGGCAAGCGUUGUCCGGAUUUACUGGGCGUAAAGAGCGUGUAGGCGGCCACGCAGGUCCGUUGUGAAAACUGGAGGCUCAACCUCCAGACGUCGACGGAAACCGUAUGGCUAGAGUCCGGAAGAGGAGAGUGGAAUUCCUGGUGUAGCGGUGAAAUGCGCAGAUAUCAGGAAGAACACCAAUGGCGAAGGCAGCUCUCUGGGACGGUACUGACGCUGAGACGCGAAAGCGUGGGGAUCAAACAGG
Molecule: ribosomal RNA, 253 nt
Filed under: uncultured bacterium
Lineage: Bacteria
Description: partial 16S ribosomal RNA
Rfam family: Bacterial small subunit ribosomal RNA
Source: RNAcentral